GGAAUUUAAUGUUUUUAUAUAAUUAUUAAGAUUUCCAGAGUGGCAACAUGAUGUCAUGUUACGCCGUGUGGCAACAUGUCAAGCUGAAAACGUUACUUGGAGUCUUCAUUUAUAAGCCUUGCAUUAAUCCUAAUAAUAAAGCAUAUGGAGUUCCACCUCGAGAAUUUGGGAUGUAUUGAACUGCUGUUGAGGUUGGGAUCUGAUCCUAACACAAGAGACUUACAAGGACAUACACCUCUAAUGGACGCAUGCCGCUCCAAUCCGCAAGCUGUUCCCUUAUUACUAAGUUAUGGAGCUGAUGUUAAUGCUGUAAAUUUAGAAGAUUUUACUUCUUUGCAUUAUGCAGUUAUGGAGGGAAACCUUGAAAUUGUGCAGCUCCUAAUCCAGCAUGGAGCUGAUGUGUGUGUUCCUCUUGGAUGUAAACCACCACCACUCCAUUUUGCUGUUGUCCAAGGCAGUGUGGAAAUUCUAGAAUUUCUUUUAAAUUCCGGGGCUGACAUCAAUGCAGUGUCGAAUAUGUGUGGUACAGCUCUGCAUCUUGCUCUCACUAAAAUAACUGGAAAUCAGCUAGAAUUGGUCAAAACUCUUCUACAACGUGGAGCCAACCCGAAUGCAAUUACCGUAUCUGAUAACACACGUGUUUUUAAGCCCCCAAUUGAAGAAUAUCUGAAAUGCUGCGAACAUCUUCAACCUGAAAUAAUUCAGUUGCUUCUGAGAUGACCGUAUGUCCGAUUUUUCUACUGACAGACAGAUUUCCGAAUCCAAUUCCAGUCUUGUUUUUUUAACAAGAUUCUUUUGUUUCAAAUUUAAAGCCUAACCUGAGCCUGUAUCCCUAUACAUCUCGAAAAACAGUUGACGAGUACUUGCAGUGACUAUUCGUAAUAUAUUAUAGAAUAUUUCAAGCUAGGUAUGGAGCUCGUAUAGUGCUGAAAGAAAAGAGAGAUCAUCCACUUGGAAUCAUAAAAGUUAUCCACAGGAUACACUUAGGUUUGAAUCCUGAAGUAAUGGCUUUGUUAAUUGAGGCUUGUGAAGAAUUCGACGUA
This 1043-nucleotide unclassified non-coding RNA is filed under the name Stegodyphus dumicola. Its description in RNAcentral is "ankyrin repeat and SOCS box protein 8-like, transcript variant X2". The record is from RNAcentral. Lineage: Eukaryota; Metazoa; Arthropoda; Arachnida; Araneae; Eresidae.